Molecule: ribosomal RNA, 1975 nt
Filed under: Listeria monocytogenes
Lineage: Bacteria; Bacillati; Bacillota; Bacilli; Caryophanales; Listeriaceae
Description: partial 23S ribosomal RNA
Rfam family: Bacterial large subunit ribosomal RNA
Source: RNAcentral
UCCGAAUGCCAUGUACUUAUACUCGGGAGUCAGACUGCGAGUGAUAAGAUCCGUAGUCGAAAGGGAAACAGCCCAGACCACCAGUUAAGGUCCCCAAAUAUAUGUUAAGUGGAAAAGGAUGUGGGGUUGCUUAGACAACCAGGAUGUUGGCUUAGAAGCAGCCACCAUUGAAAGAGUGCGUAAUAGCUCACUGGUCGAGUGACCCCGCGCCGAAAAUGUACCGGGGCUAAACAUAUUACCGAAACUGUGGAUGAACCUCUUUAGAGGUUCGUGGUAGGAGAGCGUUCUAAGGGCGGUGAAGUCAGACCGGAAGGACUGGUGGAGCGCUUAGAAGUGAGAAUGCCGGUAUGAGUAGCGAAAGAAGGGUGAGAAUCCCUUCCACCGAAUAUCUAAGGUUUCCUGAGGAAGGCUCGUCCGCUCAGGGUUAGUCGGGACCUAAGCCGAGGCCGAUAGGCGUAGGCGAUGGACAACAGGUAGAGAUUCCUGUACCAGUGCUAAUUGUUUAACCGAUGGGGUGACACAGAAGGAUAGGGAAUCGCACGAAUGGAAAUGUGCGUCCAAGCAGUGAGUGUGAGAAGUAGGCAAAUCCGCUUCUCGCGAAGCAUGAGCUGUGAUGGGGAAGGAAAUUAAGUACGGAAGUUCCUGAUUUCACGCUGUCAAGAAAAGCCUCUAGGAAGAGUAGUACUGCCCGUACCGCAAACCGACACAGGUAGAUGAGGAGAGAAUCCUAAGGUGAGCGAGAGAACUCUCGUUAAGGAACUCGGCAAAAUGACCCCGUAACUUCGGGAGAAGGGGUGCUCUAUUAGGGUGCAAGCCCGAGAGAGCCGCAGUGAAUAGGCCCAGGCGACUGUUUAGCAAAAACACAGGUCUCUGCAAAACCGUAAGGUGACGUAUAGGGGCUGACGCCUGCCCGGUGCUGGAAGGUUAAGAGGAGUGCUUAGCUUCGGCGAAGGUACGAAUUGAAGCCCCAGUAAACGGCGGCCGUAACUAUAACGGUCCUAAGGUAGCGAAAUUCCUUGUCGGGUAAGUUCCGACCCGCACGAAAGGCGCAACGAUCUGGGCACUGUCUCAACGAGAGACUCGGUGAAAUUAUAGUACCUGUGAAGAUGCAGGUUACCCGCGACAGGACGGAAAGACCCCGUGGAGCUUUACUGCAACCUGAUAUGGAAUGUUUGUACCGCUUGUACAGGAUAGGUAGGAGCCGAAGAGACGUGUGCGCUAGCAUACGAGGAGGCAAUGGUGGGAUACUACCCUGGCUGUAUGACCAUUCUAACCCGCCACGCUUAGCGCGUGGGGAGACAGUGUCAGGUGGGCAGUUUGACUGGGGCGGUCGCCUCCUAAAGAGUAACGGAGGCGCCCAAAGGUUCCCUCAGAAUGGAUGGAAAUCAUUCGCAGAGUGUAAAGGCACAAGGGAGCUUGACUGCGAGACUGACAAGUCGAGCAGGGACGAAAGUCGGGCUUAGUGAUCCGGUGGUUCCGCAUGGAAGGGCCAUCGCUCAACGGAUAAAAGCUACCCCGGGGAUAACAGGCUUAUCUCCCCCAAGAGUCCACAUCGACGGGGAGGUUUGGCACCUCGAUGUCGGCUCGUCGCAUCCUGGGGCUGUAGUCGGUCCCAAGGGUUGGGCUGUUCGCCCAUUAAAGCGGCACGCGAGCUGGGUUCAGAACGUCGUGAGACAGUUCGGUCCCUAUCCGUCGCGGGCGCAGGAAAUUUGAGAGGAGCUGUCCUUAGUACGAGAGGACCGGGAUGGACACACCGCUGGUGUACCAGUUGUUCCGCCAGGAGCAUCGCUGGGUAGCUAUGUGUGGCAGGGAUAAACGCUGAAAGCAUCUAAGCGUGAAGCCCCCCUCAAGAUGAGAUUUCCCAUUUCUUCGGAAAGUAAGAUCCCUGAAAGAUGAUCAGGUAGAUAGGUUUGGAGUGGAAGUGUAGCGAUACAUGGAGCGGACAAAUACUAAUCGAUCGAGGACUUAACCAAAA